This 1532-nucleotide long non-coding RNA is filed under the name Amphibalanus amphitrite. RNAcentral's name for it is "uncharacterized LOC122388514". The record is from RNAcentral. Lineage: Eukaryota; Metazoa; Arthropoda; Thecostraca; Balanomorpha; Balanidae.
CUAGAUGGGACAUUGGCAGUGUUUUAGUGCGUGCGACUGGCCGCCAUGUUUGUGAGGGCGAGAAUCUGCGGCGCUGUGUAAACACUACGGGAGGAGGGGGGUAUUUGAGGCUGAUUUUGUGGUAUUUUUCGACCGAAAAGUGCUAAUCUUUUUUGCUCACGGCAUUCUUUGGAAUGUGUAGAUUGUGGAACAAGUGCUGAAAUAUGCUUAUCUAUUGUAAUUUGGCUACGUUAGCCUUAGACAUGUUGCACUGUUGACGCUGAUGAAGAAUAGGUGGCACCAAAGGUGGCUGGAACAACCCCAGUGCCGCACAGUUCUGCGGGAUAUUCCGGCACCUGCUCUACCGCUGCGGCGUCCGGCCCGGCAGCACCGGGAACGUGGCAGCCCUCGACCCGACCAGCAUCCUGGCAGUCGGUCACACGACCACCGGACGGGGAGCCAGCCUUACUACCUCGGCCUCCACCACCUCAGACAACGGUGCCACGGCACUCCACAUCAUCACGGAGCACGACUUCCAGCCUGGGCUGUCGUCUGGUGGGCUACAUCGCCACCUACCUCGCAGAGUUCGUGGUGAAGAAGGCGCUCGACUCUGUCAGCUGUAGCACCUGUCAGGAGGCCCUGGUGAGCGACAUCCAGCCGGACGACAUGACACAGCUUUACCACCUCUUCAUCAUCUCUGCCAGAUGAUCUAAGGUGGGGACGGGUCACAUGCCUGGGAUCUGACUGAGACCCGCUCAUACCCCGCCGAAGUGUUGGUGAUUUCAGCGGUCAGCUGUCUCUAGCCGGUGUCAGUGAGUCGCGGCCAGCUGCCGCUGGAGUGGGUAUCUACCGUCGAUAGCUGCUGUGUGGCGGAUAGCGUGGAUUUGGAUGGACACUUCAUAUUAAUGAACAGAUCAAUGUCUGGCCGAUAAAAGACGUAUUUUGUCGAUGAUUGCUUAGUGACUGAGUGGGUCCACUGGCGCCCAAUGCAGUGGGCGCUGGGUUACCGCCUCGCCUCUUGUGACCGUGUCGAUAUGUAGCACUGUUAGUUGCCGAUUCGUUGCCGGCCGUCUCUGCUCCGUGGCUGGCUGAUCCGGCACAAACUGGUGUUCGUGGCUGAAGGCGCGGCUUACAGUUACACUAGCUCGCCACGUGCCUGUGCGGCUAUCGUCGGUGCUGCCUGCAAGGGCGAUGUCGGUGCCUGUAGGGGGCGCGGAUUGAUUCAAAGUGAGGAAUAGGUCAUCGGAGCUCGGGUCAGGUCAUGUUCGGCUAAAAUAAGCGGAUUUUGCGAUUUGCCGCAUCCGGGUGAGUUUCCUUGCCUUCUAGUGCAUGUUUAUGCAUUUCACAUACGUUUUUUUAGUGUUGAUGUCUAGAUAACGUGCAUUUGCCUCGAGGUCAAGGCUGCGCUUCAUAUGGGCAGUUUUCGGAGCAUCUUGCUCAUUUUAUUCGUAAUCCUUAAUUAUGUUUGCGGAUUUGUGCCCGCAAAUCAUUUUUUUAAAGUAAGAUUGACACGGGAUUCGAGAUCGGCGCCCAUAAAUACACUUCACAUGACC